RNAcentral lists this ribosomal RNA (1361 nucleotides) under human oral metagenome. Its description in RNAcentral is "bacterial LSU rRNA". It matches the Rfam family "Bacterial large subunit ribosomal RNA", at positions 1105 to 2487 of the family's 2925-position model. The record is from RNAcentral.
CUUGGAAGCAGCCAUUCAUUUAAAGAGUGCGUAACAGCUCACUAGUCGAGCGGUUUGGCGUGGAUAAUAAUCGGGCAUAAGCUAUUUACCGAAGCUGUGGAAUAUAUAAUAUUGGUAGGGGGGCAUUCCAUAUUCGUCGAAGAUAAAGGGUUACCUUUAUUGGAGGGUAUGGAAAAGCAAAUGUAGGUAUAAGUAACGAUAAGGAGGGCGCGAACCCCUCCCGCCGGAAGACUGAGGGUUCCUGAACAACGUUAAUCGGUUCAGGGUUAGUCGGGACCUAAGGAGAAGCCGAAAGGCGCAUCUGAUGGAAGAACAGGUUAAUAAUCCUGUACUGGCGUAUGGAGCGAAGUGGGGACGGAGAAGUGAAAGUCCUGCGUACUGACGGAAUAGUACGUUGAAGGGUGUAGGUUUAGAUAUUCGUAGGCAAAUCCGCGAAUAGAGCCGAACCUGAAAGUACCGAGCGUUUUCGGACAAUCGGAUAUGGAUGUAAUCAGACUCCCUAGAAAAACCGCUAAGCAUAUUCAUACGGCACCCGUACCAUAAACGGACACACGUGGUCAAGUAUAGAGUAUUAAGGCGCUCGAGUGAUCCGCGGCUAAGGAACUAGGCAAAAUAGUCCUGUAACUUCGGAAAAAGGGACACCUACCCAGUGAUGGGAGGUCGCAGAAGAAUGGCCCAGGCGACUGUUUAACAAAAACAUAGGGCUUUGCCAAAUCGCAAGAUGAAGUAUAAGGCCUGACACCUGCCCGGUGCUGGAAGGUUAAGAGGAGAUGUCAUCGCAAGAGAAGCAUUGAAUUGAAGCCCCAGUAAACGGCGGCCGUAACUAUAACGGUCCUAAGGUAGCGAAAUUCCUUGUCGGGUAAGUUCCGACCUGCACGAAUGGUGUAACGAUCUGGGUACUGUCUCAACCGCGAGCUCGGUGAAAUUGUAGUAUCGGUGAAGAUGCCGAUUACCCGCAACGGGACGAAAAGACCCCGUGAACCUUUACUGCAACUUAACAUUGAAUUUGGGUAAUUGAUGUGUAGGAUAGGCCGGAGGCUAUGAAGCAGGUACGCCAGUAUUUGUGGAGCCGUUGUUGAAAUACGGUCCUUCAGUUAUUUGAGUUCUAACCCGUGGAUAUGGGGACACUGUUUGGUGGGUAGUUUGACUGGGGUGGUCGCCUCCAAAAGAGUAACGGAGGCUUCCAAAGGUACCCUCAGGCCGAUUGGUAACCGGUCGCAGAGUGUAAUGGUAUAAGGGUGCUUGACUGCGAGACAAACAAGUCGAACAGGUAGGAAACUAGGGCAUAGUGAUCCGGUGGUUCCGCAUGGAAGGGCCAUCGCUCAAAGGAUAAAAGGUACUCCGGGGAUAACAGGCUGAUC